GCCACAUCUAGAGGGGUGGAGGGACUGGCCCAGUGAAGCCCCGGCAACCAUUUCGGACCUAGCGGUCUGAGGCAGGUGCCAACUCCAGCAGGUCGCAUGACCUGACAGAUGUGGG
RNAcentral lists this non-coding RNA (115 nucleotides) under Solirubrobacterales bacterium. RNAcentral describes it as "SAM-I sequence". It matches the Rfam family "SAM riboswitch aptamer (S box leader)". From Rfam's summary of the family: The SAM riboswitch is found upstream of a number of genes which code for proteins involved in methionine or cysteine biosynthesis in Gram-positive bacteria. The SAM riboswitch acts at the level of transcription termination control. The predicted structure consists of a complex stem-loop region followed by a single stem loop terminator region. The record is from RNAcentral. Lineage: Bacteria; Bacillati; Actinomycetota; Thermoleophilia; Solirubrobacterales.